GAAGAAAGAACAACAUUUGUAAACGUAGGUGAAUGAACAAAUGUAUUAUGUACUACGUAUAAUGCCAACAAGCUAUUUAUUUUUGCCUUAUAUAUCUUGGUGCAAUGUUUUGUGUUGAUAAUGGUCUUCACAGUAGCUUAUGGCAAUGGACAAUGCCCUUCUAGGAUAACGUAAUUAGUAGCAUAAGGCUGACAAACACAUUCAUUAUAAUCACGGUCCACAUUGGGAAGUCUGUCACAAUUUGCAGGAACCCAGCCGAUCUGAUGAUUACCAUUGUCAUAUAUCACCAGUUUAU
Molecule: unclassified non-coding RNA, 295 nt
Filed under: Hevea brasiliensis (rubber tree)
Lineage: Eukaryota; Viridiplantae; Streptophyta; Magnoliopsida; Malpighiales; Euphorbiaceae
Source: RNAcentral